This 610-nucleotide long non-coding RNA is filed under the name Homo sapiens (human). Its description in RNAcentral is "non-protein coding lnc-OR10G2-2:1". The record is from RNAcentral. Lineage: Eukaryota; Metazoa; Chordata; Mammalia; Primates; Hominidae.
AUGGCAGAGGGAGGUAACCACGGCACCAAUUUGCUGGCUGCAGAGACUGCAAGUUUAGAACAAUAGCUGCAAGAAUGGGGAAAAGUGAUGUUGAUGGUGGAUAAAGUCUUAUUAUGGGAAAGAGCUUGGUUUUCACCUGCCAUCAUGGACUUGGUUUCUUUGGUGCUUCAAUUAUCUACUAUCUAGAUCCAUCUGUUCUGUCUGCUGUUUCCUCUUUUGUUGUGUUUUGGUGCUUGGCUGACUACCUUGUUCCCAUUCUAGCACCUAACAUUUUUGGCUCCAAUAAAUGCACCAGCAAUCAACAGCAAAAAUUCCAUGAAAUUUGCAGCAAUCUACUAAAAACUCAAUGCAGAGCUAUGGACUGGUGGAAACAAAUCUUCGCACUGAAGGAAGAAAAGCCUGAAAUGUGUUUCAUGGCCAUGAUCAUUUAUCUCGCUGCAGUUGUUUGGAUGGGACAGCAAGUCCACAACCUGCUUCUCAGCUACCUGACAGUGACUUUCUUACUGUUGCUUCCUCAACUAAACCAACACGGAAUCAUUUCAAACCACACUGGAAAGGCCAAAGGGAGAUAAACAAGCUUCUCGAACAAAAAGAAAAGAAAAAUGAAUAA